RNAcentral lists this unclassified non-coding RNA (368 nucleotides) under soil metagenome. RNAcentral's name for it is "partial contains 5.8S ribosomal RNA, internal transcribed spacer 2, and large subunit ribosomal RNA". The stretch from base 1 to 120 matches the Rfam family "5.8S ribosomal RNA", at positions 35 to 154 of the family's 154-position model. The record is from RNAcentral.
GAUGAAGAACGUAGCGAAAUGCGAUAAGUAAUAUGAAUUGCAGAUUUUCGUGAAUCAUCGAAUCUUUGAACGCACAUUGCGCCCUUUGGUAUUCCAAAGGGCAUGCCUGUUUGAGCGUCAUUUCUCUCUCAAAUCUUCGGAUUUGGUUUUGAGUGAUACUCUUAGUCAGACUAGGCGUUUGCUUGAAAUGUAUUGGCAUGAGUGGUACUAGAUAGUGCUAAACUGUUUCAAUGUAUUAGGUUUAUCCAACUCGUUGACCAGUGAAGUAUUUGUUUAUUACACAGGCUCGGCCUUACAACAACAAACAAAGUUUGACCUCAAAUCAGGUAGGACUACCCGCUGAACUUAAGCAUAUCAUAAGCGGAGGA